UGUAAUUAUUAUAUUUCCAAGCUAGUUACUAGACAUAGACAUAGACAAUGCCUGAGAAAUUUGUCAAGAGAAUAUAGCCAGACAUGACGCGUCGCUAUCAGCAGAGCCCCAGAAUAAUGAAGGCAAGAUUUUAAGUCAUCGCCUCUCUAUGCGAUUCUCACGGAUUUUUCGCUGCCCUAUAAAAAAUUCUAAUUCAGCGAUUUUCAAAUUUUAAUCAGAAUUCAUAGUCCACGCUCAGGUCAAGCCAAGUUUGAAUUCAUAGCUAUGCAAAUUCGUGAAGUUUGCUCUGGACAGAGCCCAGUUGCUGCUGCUGCUGCAAAUUAUUCAAAAUGA
Long non-coding RNA from Drosophila mojavensis, 333 nucleotides. RefSeq lists it as uncharacterized. The transcript has 3 exons. The record is from RefSeq and is a predicted model, not a curated record. NCBI's taxonomy places the organism in Eukaryota, Metazoa, Arthropoda, Insecta, Diptera, Drosophilidae.